ACCUACGGGAGGCAGCAGUGGGGGAUAUUGCACAAUGGGGGAAACCCUGAUGCAGCGACGCCGCGUGAGUGAGGAAGUAUUUCGGUAUGUAAAGCUCUAUCAGCAGGGAAGAAAAUGACGGUACCUGACUAAGAAGCCCCGGCUAACUACGUGCCAGCAGCCGCGGUAAUACGUAGGGGGCAAGCGUUAUCCGGAUUUACUGGGUGUAAAGGGAGCGCAGGCGGCGAGUUAAGUCAGCGGUAAAAUUUCGGGGCUCAACCCCGACGAGCCGUUGAAACUGGCUUGCUAGAGUGGGCGAGAAGUAU
Molecule: ribosomal RNA, 305 nt
Filed under: uncultured bacterium
Lineage: Bacteria
Description: bacterial SSU rRNA
Rfam family: Bacterial small subunit ribosomal RNA
Source: RNAcentral